GACGAACGCUGGCGGCGUGCUUAACACAUGCAAGUCGAACGUGAUUUUUGUGGAAAUUCUUUCGGGAAUGGAAAUGAAAUGAAAGUGGCGAACGGGUGAGUAACACGUGAGCAACCUACCUUACACAGGGGGAUAGCCGUUGGAAACGACGAUUAAUACCGCAUGAGACCACAGAAUCGCAUGAUAUAGGGGUCAAAGAUUUAUCGGUGUAAGAAGGGCUCGCGUCUGAUUAGCUAGUUGGAAGGGUAAAGGCCUACCAAGGCGACGAUCAGUAGCCGGUCUGAGAGGAUGAACGGCCACAUUGGAACUGAGACACGGUCCAAACUCCUACGGGAGGCAGCAGUGGGGAAUAUUGCACAAUGGGGGGAACCCUGAUGCAGCGACGCCGCGUGAGCGAAGAAGGUUAUCGAAUCGUAAAGCUCUGUCCGAUGAGAAGAUAAUGACGGUAUCAUAGGAGGAAGCCCCGGCUAAAUAC
This 475-nucleotide ribosomal RNA is filed under the name uncultured bacterium. Its description in RNAcentral is "partial 16S ribosomal RNA". It matches the Rfam family "Bacterial small subunit ribosomal RNA", at positions 28 to 504 of the family's 1533-position model. The record is from RNAcentral.